GUCGAACGAUGAACCACCUUCGGGUGGGAGAUUAGUGGCGAACGGGUGAGUAACACGUGGGCAAUCUGCCCUGCACUCUGGGACAAGCCCUGGAAACGGGGUCUAAUACCGGAUACUGAACCGCUUGGGCAUCCAGGCGGUUCGAAAGCUCCGGCGGUGCAGGAUGAGCCCGCGGCCUAUCAGCUUGUUGGUGAGGUAACGGCUCACCAAGGCGACGACGGGUAGCCGGCCUGAGAGGGCGACCGGCCACACUGGGACUGAGACACGGCCCAGACUCCUACGGGAGGCAGCAGUGGGGAAUAUUGCACAAUGGGCGAAAGCCUGAUGCAGCGACGCCGCGUGAGGGAUGACGGCCUUCGGGUUGUAAACCUCUUUCAGCAGGGAAGAAGCGAAAGUGACGGUACCUGCAGAAGAAGCGCCGGCUAACUACGUGCCAGCAGCCGCGGUAAUACGUAGGGCGCGAGCGUUGUCCGGAAUUAUUGGGCGUAAAGAGCUCGUAGGCGGCUUGUCGCGUCGGUUGUGAAAGCCCGGGGCUUAACCCCGGGUCUGCAGUCGAUACGGGCAGGCUAGAGUUCGGUAGGGGAGAUCGGAAUUCCUGGUGUAGCGGUGAAAUGCGCAGAUAUCAGGAGGMACACCGGUGGCGAAGGCGGAUCUCUGGGCCGAUACUGACGCUGAGGAGCGAAAGCGAGGGGAGCGAACAGGAUUAGAUACCCUGGGUAGUCCACGCCGUAAACGGUGGGCAUAGGUGUGGGCGCAUUCAGGCGUCCGUGCGCAGUAACGCUUAAGUGCCCGCUUGGG
This 798-nucleotide ribosomal RNA is filed under the name Streptomyces sp. Bt 05. RNAcentral's name for it is "bacterial SSU rRNA". It matches the Rfam family "Bacterial small subunit ribosomal RNA", at positions 61 to 877 of the family's 1533-position model. The record is from RNAcentral. Lineage: Bacteria; Bacillati; Actinomycetota; Actinomycetes; Kitasatosporales; Streptomycetaceae.